This 253-nucleotide ribosomal RNA is filed under the name uncultured bacterium. RNAcentral describes it as "partial 16S ribosomal RNA". It matches the Rfam family "Bacterial small subunit ribosomal RNA", at positions 524 to 776 of the family's 1533-position model. The record is from RNAcentral.
UACGGGGGGUGCGAGCGUUGUCCGGAAUCACUGGGCGUAAAGGGCGCGUAGGUGGUUUGAUAAGGGUGUGGUGAAAGCCCGGGGCUCAACCCCGGGUCUGCCGUGCCGACUGUCAAACUCGAGGGCUGUAGAGGCAGACGGAAUUCCGGGUGUAGCGGUGGAAUGCGUAGGGAUCCGGAGGAAGACCGGUGGCGAAGGCGGUCUGCUGGGCAGUUUCUGACACUGAUGCGCGACAGCGUGGGGAGCAAACAGG